Molecule: long non-coding RNA, 2101 nt
Organism: Durio zibethinus
Lineage: Eukaryota; Viridiplantae; Streptophyta; Magnoliopsida; Malvales; Malvaceae
Source: RefSeq, a predicted model, not a curated record
ACUUAUGGAUUUGUUUUGAUCAAAGAGAACAUGGCAGGAAUGAGUGGCUCACUCCAAAGGAAGGUAGAAGCUUGUGGAUUUGUUUUGACCAAAAAACAAUUGACAGGAAGUUUAAAAAUGGAAGAGUGUUUUUGGAGCGUGAAGAUCCAGAAAACCAAAUGAGAAAAAAAAAAAAAAAAAAGAGAGCUAGAAGGAAGAUUAAGCCAAAGUUAACGAUCGUUAAAGCGGUGCAAAAGAUCAGUCAUAAUGUGACAAUUGUGUUCAUCAUGGGAAGUCGCAACAAACGUUCAUUGUCGACGAACAUUAGCCGCCCUAUCUGGUUCACGAGCUGAUGACUCGGCUUUGUUCAAGAUGUCUGUUGAAAACGCGCUCAAGCUCAUCAGAGUCUCUAAAAGUGCUUUUUUUGAUGAGAUUCUUUGCGCCAAGAAUUCGAUAGUUGCCUUUAUUAAGGAUGAUAAGGAAGCUAUUGAGUAGGUGGAGGAGUUUAUUACUUGAGCCAUUUCCAAAAUUGCCUCUAAAUGAACAGGGUGGCAACUUGAAAAUUAUGAUGAAUGGUAACCAGAGUACUUGGCUGUGGAUGUUUAAAAGGUCCACCAGAUGUUAGAAUCAGGUUCAAUAUGCUGACUGUCUGUUACUCUUUCUGCUUCACCGAGAUACCCUACCUGACCAAGAAGGUCAACCAUGCAAGAAAGGUGAUCUUCUCUAGGCACAAAGCCAUACUCAUUUACCAUAGAAUUGAAUAUCCAAGUGGCAUCAUCAACUAAAACAGCACCGCUGCAAGCUGAAAGAAGAGUAGUAAAUGUUGCUUGAUCAGGUUUCACCCGACCUGCAUCUUUCAUUGCCUUGAAACAAUGGAUAGCUUCUUUACCUUCUCCAUGCUGUGCAAAAGCAGAAAUGAGGGCAUUCUAAGAGAUUGCGUCCUUUUCAAUCUUCUUAUCAAAUACUCUCAAAGACCAAUUUAAAAUGCCACAUUUUGCAUACAUAAUGAUUAAUGCAUUGCUUAAAGAUGUUUCUAAUGAAAGAUUUUGCCUCAGGAUGUAGCCAUGAAGUUGUUUCCCAUGACUCGAGGAAAAGAUGCUGGCACAAAUACUCAUAGCAAUGCUAAGCGUAUAUGCAUUUGGCCUGAGGUUUGACAUCAAAAGCUUGGAUAAUUGCUCUAACCCCAAAGCUGCGAACCCAUUUAGAAAGAAUCCCAGAUGUAAUGGUUUUCCAGGAGAUCAAAGUUCUUGAAGGACAUUGGAAAUAAUUGAUAGGCAUGAUUCAUCCUCCCAUGCUAAGAGUAUGAAGAAACCAAUGCAUUGGAAACCUGGAUUCUUGAAAUGAGUCCAUUUUUAAACACGAGAGCAUGAAUUAUCUCACCCAUUUCUAGGAAUUCUGAACAUGACAAUAAACUUCCGAAAGUGAACUCUUCGGGUUCAAUCCCUGACCUUUGCAUUUCCGUGUAGAUCCAAAUUGCUGAUAUGCCAGAGCUUCCAUAAGCAUAAAUUGAUACCAUAGUAUUCCGUUACGUAAGAUCUUUCUCCUCCAAUCUCACAAAAAUUAUGUGUGCAGCAUUUUCUUGUAUCUAUGUGUCUCUAUUCAUUGCUUUUAAUAUUGUUACUGACUUUGGUCUACUAACAAGUUUAAUUUACUUUUCUGUUCUUAAGUAACCAGAUAUAGCUCAAUUUCCAGAAUUUUCUUUUGGAUAAGUGAAACGUUUUAUUUAUCCGAAGAGGCAACAAUUGCUGCUAUAGUCACAAACAAAGCUAUACUCAGCAGCAAAAUACGAUCAAACUACCAUGCAAAUAUAGAAACACGUAGACCCUAAGCAGAACACAAAGAAUUAAUUAUAGGGUCUCUUGCGAUGUUUCUAAACCCAGCUAAGAGAGAUUGAAUUAUGUUGGUAAUUGAGCAAUACAAAAUCUAGUAUGAUUUGCUUAAUCCUCCAUGGAGUCUCCAAUUAUGGUUUUAUACUUUUACUAUUUAUAUUGAUUAGAAGUUUCAUUGUAUACCAUGUUACUCGGUUUGUAAAGGAUGUUAAGAAUAACAGAUGCUUUCUGAUCACUUAAAAGGAUAUUGGGUCUCUUCUUUCUGAUAGAGUUUGGUUAUAACUAUCAUUGUU